Molecule: ribosomal RNA, 776 nt
Filed under: uncultured Neocallimastigales
Lineage: Eukaryota; Fungi; Neocallimastigomycota; Neocallimastigomycetes; Neocallimastigales
Description: partial large subunit ribosomal RNA
Rfam family: Eukaryotic large subunit ribosomal RNA
Source: RNAcentral
GUACACGCUGUGACUAGCAUAUCAAUAAGCGGAGGAAAAGAAACUAACAAGGAUUCCCCUAGUAACGGCGAGUGAAGCGGGAAGAGCUCAAAUUUGAAAUCUUAAAGGGUUUCCCUUUACGAAUUGUAGUUUAAAGAAGUGUUUUUCUGUUGAGGUUUUGGUAAAAGUUCUUUGGAAUAGGACAUCAUAGAGGGUGAGAAUCCCGUAUUUGACCUUUACUUUCAACUUUGUGAUACACUUUCAAAGAGUCGGAUUGUUUGGGAAUGCAGUCCAAAAUGGGUGGUAAAUUUCAUCUAAAGCUAAAUAUUGGCGAGAGACCGAUAGCGAACAAGUACCGUGAGGGAAAGAUGAAAAGAACUUUGAAAAGAGAGUUAAACAGUACGUGAAAUUGUCAAAAGGGAAGCGUUUGACACCAGUGUUGUUUUUCUGAAAAUCAAUUAAAGAACUGUUUAUGCUAAGCUGUUUAGACUUUAUCAGCUAAUCUGUUUAGUUUUGAGCUUUUCUUUAAUGCACUUUUCAGUUAACAAGUCAACAUCAAUUUCUUUUGCUGUAAAAAAGCUUGAGGAAGGUGGCUUGAGAUUCGUCUUAAGUGUUUAUAGCCUCUUGCCUAUGCAGUCGGAGAGAUUGAGGUCUGCAGCGUAGAUCCUUCGGGGCUAAAUGCAUUUGUGCUAAGUUAUAGCAUUUUAUAGACAACUUGUUGACUAUGAUUUGUCUUGCAGCUUACUCGCUUAUGUUAUUUUACCUACGCUUAGGAUGUUGACGCGCGUGUGUGCGUG